CUGGCCGUAAACGAUGAAUGCUAGGUGUGCGUGCAGCGAUGCAUACGUGCCGCAGUUAACGCGAUAAGCAUUCCGCCUGGGGAGUACGGUCGCAAGAUUGAAACUCAAAGGAAUUGACGGGGGCCCGCACAAGCGGUGGAGCACGUGGUUUAAUUCGAUGCAAACCGAAGAACCUUACCCGGGUUUGACAUGUACGUAUUACUGAGAUGAAAGUUGAAGGAGUCAUUCGUAAGGGUGACAGCGUACACAGGUGC
RNAcentral lists this ribosomal RNA (254 nucleotides) under uncultured Synergistaceae bacterium. RNAcentral's name for it is "partial 16S ribosomal RNA". It matches the Rfam family "Bacterial small subunit ribosomal RNA", at positions 796 to 1041 of the family's 1533-position model. Lineage: Bacteria; Thermotogati; Synergistota; Synergistia; Synergistales; Synergistaceae. The record is from RNAcentral.